UACGUAGGGUCCGAGCGUUGUCCGGAAUUAUUGGGCGUAAAGAGCUCGUAGGCGGUCCGUUAAGUCGGAAGUGAAAUCUCAAGGCUCAACCUUGAAAUCGCUUUCGAUACUGGCGGACUUGAGGCAGGUAGGGGAAGGUGGAAUUCCUGGUGUAGCGGUGAAAUGCGCAGAUAUCGGGAGGAACACCAGUGGCGAAGGCGGCACUCUGGGCCGGAACUGACGCUGAGGAGCGAAAGCGUGGGGAGCGAACAGG
RNAcentral lists this ribosomal RNA (253 nucleotides) under uncultured bacterium. Its description in RNAcentral is "partial 16S ribosomal RNA". It matches the Rfam family "Bacterial small subunit ribosomal RNA", at positions 524 to 776 of the family's 1533-position model. The record is from RNAcentral.